GGGUGUGUUAUUAGCGAAGAGGAAACACCCGAUCCCAUCCCGAACUCGGAAGUUAAGCUCUUCAGCGCCGAAGGUAGUGCCAGGGAAGCUUGGUGUGAGAAAAGGUCAAUGCACCCUCUUAUUUUAUAAAAA
Molecule: ribosomal RNA, 132 nt
Filed under: Bacteriovorax stolpii
Lineage: Bacteria; Pseudomonadati; Bdellovibrionota; Bacteriovoracia; Bacteriovoracales; Bacteriovoracaceae
Source: RNAcentral